This 134-nucleotide non-coding RNA is filed under the name Chloroflexota bacterium. RNAcentral's name for it is "Chloroflexi bacterium MoCo sequence". It matches the Rfam family "Molybdenum/Tungsten riboswitch aptamer (Moco RNA motif)". Lineage: Bacteria; Bacillati; Chloroflexota. The record is from RNAcentral.
AGUAUUGGCUCUCUCCGAGCUGUCUUGCCUAAAGAGAAUCCAUGGCAAGCAGACGGUGGGCUGCAAAGCCUCGAAGGCAUAGAGAGAAAUGUCUAUGCCUCCCGUGCUUGGAAAGGAGGGAAUAUGGAGCUUGG